CUAUCUGCCGUGGGCGCUGGAGAAUUGAGGGGGGCUGCUCCUAGUACGAGAGGACCGGAGUGGACGCAUCACUGGUGUUCGGGUUGUCAUGCCAAUGGCACUGCCCGGUAGCUAAAUGCGGAAGAGAUAAGUGCUGAAAGCAUCUAAGCACGAAACUUGCCCCGAGAUGAGUUCUCCCUGACUCCUUGAGAGUCCUGAAGGAACGUUGAAGACGACGACGUUGAUAGGCCGGGUGUGUAAGCGCAGCGAUGCGUUGAGCUAACCGGUACUAAUGAACCGUGAGGCUUAACCUUACAACGCCGAAGGUGUUU
RNAcentral lists this ribosomal RNA (311 nucleotides) under Escherichia coli. RNAcentral describes it as "partial 23S ribosomal RNA". It matches the Rfam family "Bacterial large subunit ribosomal RNA", at positions 2638 to 2925 of the family's 2925-position model. Lineage: Bacteria; Pseudomonadati; Pseudomonadota; Gammaproteobacteria; Enterobacterales; Enterobacteriaceae. The record is from RNAcentral.